CGGGAUGUGGCGCAGCCUGGCUAGCGCACUUGCAUGGGGUGCAAGGGGUCGUGGGUUCAAAUCCCGCCAUCCCGACCA
RNAcentral lists this transfer RNA (78 nucleotides) under bacterium. Its description in RNAcentral is "tRNA-Pro". It matches the Rfam family "tRNA". Rfam says of the family: Transfer RNA (tRNA) molecules are approximately 80 nucleotides in length. Their secondary structure includes four short double-helical elements and three loops (D, anti-codon, and T loops). RNAcentral also lists the same sequence under 1 other name. The record is from RNAcentral.